Molecule: transfer RNA, 76 nt
Filed under: Candidatus Thorarchaeota archaeon
Lineage: Archaea; Promethearchaeati; Candidatus Thorarchaeota
Also listed under: 1 other name
Description: tRNA-Asn
Rfam family: tRNA
About the family: Transfer RNA (tRNA) molecules are approximately 80 nucleotides in length. Their secondary structure includes four short double-helical elements and three loops (D, anti-codon, and T loops). Further hydrogen bonds mediate the characteristic L-shaped molecular structure. tRNAs have two regions of fundamental functional importance: the anti-codon, which is responsible for specific mRNA codon recognition, and the 3' end, to which the tRNAs corresponding amino acid is attached (by aminoacyl-tRNA synthetases). tRNAs cope with the degeneracy of the genetic code in two manners: having more than one tRNA (with a specific anti-codon) for a particular amino acid; and 'wobble' base-pairing, i.e. permitting non-standard base-pairing at the 3rd anti-codon position.
Source: RNAcentral
GCCGCCGUGGCUCAGUAGGUAGAGCGACAGCCUGUUAAGUUGUUGGUCGUAGGUUCGAGCCCUACCGGCGGCGCCA